Gossypium arboreum is the source of this 689-nucleotide long non-coding RNA. RefSeq lists it as uncharacterized. Lineage: Eukaryota; Viridiplantae; Streptophyta; Magnoliopsida; Malvales; Malvaceae. The record is from RefSeq and is a predicted model, not a curated record. The transcript has 2 exons.
ACAAAUAGGACUCAAUUGGAGACGUCACGCAAAAAGAGGGAUCUAGCGCGCAAUUUACCCAUUCAAACAAAAAGGGCGCAAAUCCGACUCCUUAGAUCGGGCUAAUGCUCGGACCUUCACUUUAUUAAACAGUGCAGUUUUUGAAAACUACUGUUAUACCUUCCUUUUUCAAUUGUUUUUCUUUUAAAACGCAGCAAACUUUCCUUUUAAACCUAAGUAUGCUAUCAGCCCAUUUUUUAGGGUUUCAUCUAGCAAGUGCCGCCAACGAGGGGAGCAUUUGAGUCAUAAAAUCAAUUUACAGCCUUAAAAUCUCUCCCCUGUUUUCAAUUUCAACGAAACAAAGAAGAUCCAUGGUGAAUUUAUAAAGUGUGCAUGGCGCGGUGCUGCUGACAUGGCGAGGCCAUUCGUGAGGCGUGAUACAAAGGCUUCCAAAAGCUUCACUAUUUGGGGCUGCUGUGGUGCUUGCGGCGCAUGGGAAUGGUAGCUUGGUGGCCUAGGGUUUCCACUUUCUAAAAAUAUUUAAUGGGCUAUGUUUUUGGGUUAAGUUAUUGGGGUAUGUAAUGGGUUAGGAUUAGGUUUAAUUUAGGUUUGGGCCUUAUUGUAAAAUGAGUUUAAAAUUUGGGCUUCAAUUGUAUGUGGGCUGAAUGUAAAUUUGGACUAUGGACAUUUAUUGGAUUUUUAUUUUGCGA